GACGAACGCUGGCGGCGUGCUUAACACAUGCAAGUCGAACGGAAAGGCCCUGCUUUUGUGGGGUGCUCGAGUGGCGAACGGGUGAGUAACACGUGAGUAACCUGCCCUUGACUUUGGGAUAACUUCAGGAAACUGGGGCUAAUACCGGAUAGGAGCUCCUGCUGCAUGGUGGGGGUUGGAAAGUUUCGGCGGUUGGGGUUGGACUCGCGGCUUAUCAGCUUGUUGGUGGGGGAGUGGCUUACCAAGGCUUUGACGGGUAGCCGGCCUGAGAGGGUGAACGGCCACAUUGGGACUGAGAUACGGCCCAGACUCCUACGGGAGGCAGAAGUGGGGAAUAUUGCACAAUGGGCGGAAGCCUGAUGCAGCAACGCCGCGUGCGGGAUGACGGCCUUCGGGUUGUAAACCGCUUUCGCCUGUGACGAAGCGUGAGUGACGGUAAUGGGUAAAGAAGCACCGGCUAACUACGUG
Molecule: ribosomal RNA, 468 nt
Filed under: uncultured bacterium
Lineage: Bacteria
Description: partial 16S ribosomal RNA
Rfam family: Bacterial small subunit ribosomal RNA
Source: RNAcentral